RNAcentral lists this ribosomal RNA (253 nucleotides) under uncultured bacterium. RNAcentral's name for it is "partial 16S ribosomal RNA". It matches the Rfam family "Bacterial small subunit ribosomal RNA", at positions 524 to 776 of the family's 1533-position model. The record is from RNAcentral.
UACGGAGGGUGCAAGCGUUGUUCGGAAUUAUUGGGCGUAAAGGGCAGGUAGGUGGUCUUGAAAGUCUGCUGUGAAAUCCCCGAGCUUAACUUGGGAAGUGCGGCAGAUACUCCAAGACUAGAGUACUGGAGGGGUUCGUGGAAUUCCUGGUGUAGCGGUGAAAUGCGCAGAUAUCAGGAGGAACACCGAUGGCGAAGGCAGGUCUCUGGGCCACUACUGACGCUGAGAAGCGAAAGCAUGGGGAGCGAACAGG